Non-coding RNA from Danio rerio (zebrafish), 684 nucleotides. Lineage: Eukaryota; Metazoa; Chordata; Actinopteri; Cypriniformes; Danionidae. The record is from Ensembl.
UUAAAGAGCCCAUAUUAUACAUGAAAUAGGGUCAUAUCCUGGUUGUAAGGGUCUCCAACAACAGUCUAAUAUGCAUGCAAGGUCAAAAAACACUUUCAUGGUCUUAUAAUCUGCAUUUAUUUUUAGCUAAUUAUCCCAGCGACUCCUGUAUGAAUCGUCCAGUGAUUCAUUUGUUCCCAAACCCCUCCUUAGCGCGGAGCUAAUCUGCGCUGAUUGGACCGAUGACAGUCUGUCGCGAUUGGUCGACUGCCUUCAGUCAGAGAGGGAAAUGGCCAAUAGCUAAUCAGCAAUUUAAAAAGUAAUCACAGUUCAUACACGCUCGAUAGUGUAGACGUGGAUUUUAGCUGCCACACUAUGGCGAGUGGAUGGUGCCACGGAUAACCGAACGAAGGAGACAGUCGUGUACUCGCCAUACCACACACACACAAAAACACACACACACCUCCGGAUGACAACGCUCCCGCUUCCGCCCGCACCCGCCAGGCUUUAGCCUGAGAACCCGCUCUGUUUUCUGCCCGCCGCGCCCGGUCCCGCUAGAGCGGAGAACACAACCAAAAAUCACCCAGUAUACAGUCCAGACAGCCAAGCUGUCUGUAUAAACACACACACACAGCACAAAGCACACAAAGCUCGUUCGUUCGUUCGUUCGUUCGCUCUCUCUCUCUCUCUCUCUCUCUCUCUCUC